Molecule: ribosomal RNA, 253 nt
Filed under: uncultured bacterium
Lineage: Bacteria
Description: partial 16S ribosomal RNA
Rfam family: Bacterial small subunit ribosomal RNA
Source: RNAcentral
UACGUAGGCAGCAAGCGUUGUUCGGAGUUACUGGGCGUAAAGGGCGUGUAGGCGGUCUCGUAAGUCUGGUGUGAAAUCUCCCGGCUCAACUGGGAGGGUGCGCCGGAAACUGCGAGGCUAGAGUGUGGGAUGGGAGAGUGGAAUUCCUGGUGUAGCGGUGAAAUGCGUAGAUAUCAGGAGGAACACCUGCGGUGUAGACGGCUCUCUGGACCACUACUGACGCUGAAACACGAAAGCGUAGGGAGCGAACAGG